CCUACGGGAGGCUGCAGUGGGGAAUUUUGCGCAAUGCUCGUAAGAGUGACGCAGCGACGCCGCGUGAAUGACGAAGGCCUUCGGGUCGUAAAGUUCUUUCGACAGGGAAGAAAAUGCCUAUAAGUAACUGUGUAUGUAUUGACGGUACCUGUAUAAGCAGCCCCGGCUAACUCCGUGCCAGCAGCCGCGGUAAUACGGCGGGGGCGAGCGUUGUUCGGAGGGACUGGGCGUAAAGAGCACGUAGGCGGUGUUGUAAGUCAUUAGUCAAAGACUAGAGCUCAACUUUAGUAAGGCUAGUGAUACUAUAAUACUAGAGUAUCAGAGAGGAUUGCAGAAUUCCUGGUGUAGCGGUGAAAUGCGUAGAUAUCAGGAGGAAUACCGUUAGCGAAGGCGGCAAUCUGGCUGGAAACUGACGCUGAGGUGCGAAAGCGUGGGUAGCAAACAGGAUUAGAUACCCCUGUAGUC
Molecule: ribosomal RNA, 465 nt
Filed under: uncultured bacterium
Lineage: Bacteria
Description: partial 16S ribosomal RNA
Rfam family: Bacterial small subunit ribosomal RNA
Source: RNAcentral